UGGGGAAUUUUGGACAAUGGGGGAAACCCUGAUCCAGCAAUGCCGCGUGAGUGAAGAAGGCCUUCGGGUUGUAAAGCUCUUUUGUCAGGGAAGAAAUUGACCGGGCCAAUACCCUGGUUAGAUGACGGUACCUGAAGAAUAAGCACCGGCUAACUACGUGCC
Molecule: ribosomal RNA, 162 nt
Filed under: uncultured bacterium
Lineage: Bacteria
Description: partial 16S ribosomal RNA
Rfam family: Bacterial small subunit ribosomal RNA
Source: RNAcentral